UACGUAGGUGGCAAGCGUUAUCCGGAAUUACUGGGCGUAAAGCGCACGCAGGCGGUUGGAUAAGAUUGACGUGAAAGCUUCUGGCUUAACCGGAAGAAGUCGUUGAUGACUGUCCGACUUGAGACGAGGAGAGGGGUGCAGAAUUCCCGGUGUAGUGGUGGAAUGCGUAGAGAUCGGGAGGAAUACCAGUGGCGAAAGCGGCACCCUGGCCUUAGUCUGACGCUCAGGUGCGAAAGCGUGGGGAGCGAACGGG
RNAcentral lists this ribosomal RNA (253 nucleotides) under uncultured bacterium. Its description in RNAcentral is "partial 16S ribosomal RNA". It matches the Rfam family "Bacterial small subunit ribosomal RNA", at positions 524 to 776 of the family's 1533-position model. The record is from RNAcentral.